This 375-nucleotide non-coding RNA is filed under the name Pteridomonas danica. The record is from RNAcentral. Lineage: Eukaryota; Dictyochophyceae; Pedinellales.
UGGUGAUAUGUACCUCUUUUGUGUGUUUCUUCUUUCCAUAUCAUACUAUUGUGUUUCUUCUUUCCAUAUCAUACUAUUUUCUGAUUUGGUUAUCUCUGUAUAUAUAAAAAAAAAAACCAAAAUAUAUAUGUAAAACUAAAACUAAAAUCAACCAGGUGUUUCUUCUUUCCAUAUCAAUGGUUUUGACAGCGGAUCACCAAGAUCACAUUCGAGAUGCUAUGGAAAUUAAUGACAAUGAAAGUAAGUCAAGUGACGACGAGUUAGCUUCCAUUACGGGUGUAUGGCGUGUCGAUAAGAAACGAACCGACUUUAACGGUCUUGAUCAGUACUUAGCGGCCAUCAGAGUUCCAGCAGUCUUUAGAGGUCUCGCAAAGG